UACGUAGGGGGCAAGCGUUGUCCGGAUUUAUUGGGCGUAAAGAGCGUGUAGGCGGCCAGGUAGGUCUGCUGUGAAAUCUCUGAGCUUAACUCAGAACGGCCAAGUGAUACUGCAGUGCUAGAGUGUGGAAGGGGCAAUCGGAAUUCUUGGUGUAGCGGUGAAAUGCGUAGAUAUCAAGAGGAACACCUGAGGUGAAGACGGGUUGCUGGGCCAACACUGACGCUGAGGCGCGAAAGCCAGGGGAGCAAACGGG
RNAcentral lists this ribosomal RNA (253 nucleotides) under uncultured bacterium. RNAcentral's name for it is "partial 16S ribosomal RNA". It matches the Rfam family "Bacterial small subunit ribosomal RNA", at positions 524 to 776 of the family's 1533-position model. The record is from RNAcentral.